RNAcentral lists this ribosomal RNA (253 nucleotides) under Acidobacterium sp. RNAcentral describes it as "partial 16S ribosomal RNA". It matches the Rfam family "Bacterial small subunit ribosomal RNA", at positions 524 to 776 of the family's 1533-position model. RNAcentral also lists the same sequence under 1 other name. The record is from RNAcentral. Lineage: Bacteria; Pseudomonadati; Acidobacteriota; Terriglobia; Terriglobales; Acidobacteriaceae.
GACGUAGGGGGCCAGCGUUGCUCGGAAUUACUGGGCGUAAAGGGCGCGUAGGCGGCCUUCUAAGUCGAACGUGAAAUCCCCGGGCUCAACCCGGGAACUGCGUCCGAUACUGGAAGGCUUGAAUCCGGGAGAGGGAUGCGGAAUUCCAGGUGUAGCGGUGAAAUGCGUAGAUAUCUGGAGGAACACCGGUGGCGAAGGCGGCAUCCUGGACCGGCAUUGACGCUGAGGCGCGAAAGCCAGGGGAGCAAACGGG